UGUAUACUUCUCAAAUUUGAAUUAAAAAGUUUUGAGUAGGCAAUAUACAUUUACACGGUUCAAACUUCAAAGGCACCAGUGAAUAUAGUAAAACGUUUUCCUUUACUGAUUCCCAGAUACUCUGUUCUCUUCCUUCACCUCCUCACCUCUAUUCUACUCCCACCCCAGACAUCAUCCGUUAUUAUGGUUUCUUGUACAUCGUGAAGUUUUCUGUGUAUAU
Molecule: long non-coding RNA, 220 nt
Filed under: Bos taurus (domestic cattle)
Lineage: Eukaryota; Metazoa; Chordata; Mammalia; Artiodactyla; Bovidae
Description: long non-coding RNA NONBTAT017896
Source: RNAcentral